RNAcentral lists this unclassified non-coding RNA (334 nucleotides) under soil metagenome. RNAcentral's name for it is "partial contains 5.8S ribosomal RNA, internal transcribed spacer 2, and large subunit ribosomal RNA". The stretch from base 1 to 120 matches the Rfam family "5.8S ribosomal RNA", at positions 35 to 154 of the family's 154-position model. The record is from RNAcentral.
GAUGAAGAACGCAGCGAAAUGCGAUAAGUAAUGUGAAUUGCAGAAUUCAGUGAAUCAUCGAAUCUUUGAACGCACAUUUCGCCCGCCAUUAUUCUGGCGGGCAUGCCUGUUCGAGCGUCAUUUCAACCAUCAAGCCCCCGGCUUGUGUUGGGGACCUGCGGCUGCCGCAGGCCCUGAAAUGCAGUGGCGGGCUCGCUGUCACUCCGAGCGUAGUAGUUACAUCUCGCUCUGGGCGUGCUGCGGGUUCCGGCCGUUAAAAGCCUUAUUUACCAAAGGUUGACCUCGGAUCAGGUAGGAAGACCCGCUGAACUUAAGCAUAUCAAUAAGCGGAGGA